This 1564-nucleotide ribosomal RNA is filed under the name Lionycteris spurrelli. Its description in RNAcentral is "partial 16S ribosomal RNA". It matches the Rfam family "Bacterial large subunit ribosomal RNA". The record is from RNAcentral. Lineage: Eukaryota; Metazoa; Chordata; Mammalia; Chiroptera; Phyllostomidae.
CUGUACUUAGCCCAAAACAAAUACAAUUUAAUUAUCAACUCUGUUUAAAACAAAACAUUUAAUAUACCUUAAAGUAUAGGAGAUAGAAAUUUUAAUUUGGCGCUAUAGAGAAAGUACCGCAAGGGAAUAAUGAAAGAAAGCACCAAAGCAAUAAAUAGCAAAGACUACCCCUUGUACCUUUUGCAUAAUGAAUUAACUAGAAUAACUUAGCAAAGAGAACUUAAGUUAAAUGCCCCGAAACCAAACGAGCUACUUAUGAGCAGCCCUAUAGAGCAAACUCAUCUAUGUGGCAAAAUAGUGAGAAGACUUGUAAGUAGUGGUGAAAAGCCUAUCGAGUCUGGUGAUAGCUGGUUAUCCAGUAAAAGAAUAUCAGUUCAAACUUAAGCCUACCUACAAAAUUUACAAUUCAACUGUAGACUUAAAGUAUAAUCUAAAGAGGGACAGCUCUUUAGAUACAGGUUACAACCUUGGCUAGAGAGUAAGUACACAAACAGACCAUAGUUGGCUUAAAAGCAGCCACCAAUAAAGAAAGCGUUCAAGCUCGACAACUCAACUAUCUCAAUCUCAACAAUCAACACUAACUCCUACCAUAAACUACUGGAUUAUUCUAUAAUUAUAUAGAAGAGAUACUGUUAAUAUGAGUAACAAGAAAAAUUUCUCCCCCGCAUAAACCUAUAUCAGAACGGAUACCCACUGAUAGUUAACACAUAUAAAGUAGAUCAAAUGACAAGCUCUUUAUCUUGAAUUCGUUAACCCAACACAGGAAUGCCUUCAGGGAAAGAUUAAAAGGAGUAAAAGGAACUCGGCAAACAUAAACCCCGCCUGUUUACCAAAAACAUCACCUCUAGCAUUAUUAGUAUUAGAGGCACUGCCUGCCCAGUGACACACGUUUAACGGCCGCGGUAUCCUGACCGUGCAAAGGUAGCAUAAUCACUUGUUCUCUAAAUAAGGACUUGUAUGAAUGGCCACACGAGGGUUUUACUGUCUCUUACUCCCAAUCAGUGAAAUUGACCUUCCCGUGAAGAGGCGGGAAUGCUAUAAUAAGACGAGAAGACCCUAUGGAGCUUUAAUUAACUAGUCCAAGAAGAUUAUUAACCUUACCAACAGGCACAAAACAAUCUCAAAUGGACCAGCAAUUUAGGUUGGGGUGACCUCGGAGCAUAACUCACCCUCCGAGUACUAUAAGCCUAGACUCACUAGUCAAAGCUAAUAUUAUUAACUGAUCCAAAACCAAUUUGAUCAACGGAACAAGUUACCCUAGGGAUAACAGCGCAAUCCUAUUCAAGAGCUCAUAUCGACAAUAGGGUUUACGACCUCGAUGUUGGAUCAGGACAUCCCAAUGGUGCAGCAGCUAUUAACGGUUCGUUUGUUCAACGAUUAAAGUCCUACGUGAUCUGAGUUCAGACCGGAGUAAUCCAGGUCGGUUUCUAUCUAUUUUACGUCUCUUCCAGUACGAAAGGACAAAAGAGACGGGGCCUCCUUAACCUAAGCGCCCCCCCCCCAACAAAUGAUCCAAUCUCAAUUUUGGUAUACAAACAAACAACUUGCCCCUAAACCAGGGCUC